RNAcentral lists this ribosomal RNA (453 nucleotides) under uncultured bacterium. Its description in RNAcentral is "bacterial SSU rRNA". It matches the Rfam family "Bacterial small subunit ribosomal RNA", at positions 28 to 479 of the family's 1533-position model. The record is from RNAcentral.
GACGAACGCUGGCGGCGCGCCUAACACAUGCAAGUCGAACGGGACUAUGCGAGAUGAAGUUUUCGGAUGGAAUUUUGUAUAGUUUAGUGGCGGACGGGUGAGUAACACGUGAGCAACCUGCCUUCGAGAGGGGAAUAACGGCUGGAAACGGUCGCUAAUACCGCAUAACAUACAGGAGGGACAUCCCUUUUGUAUCAAAGAUUUAUCGCUCGAAGAUGGGCUCGCGUCCGAUUAGGUAGUUGGUGAGGUAACGGCCCACCAAGCCGACGAUCGGUAGCCGGACUGAGAGGUUGAACGGCCACAUUGGGACUGAGACACGGCCCAGACUCCUACGGGAGGCAGCAGUGGGGGAUAUUGCACAAUGGGGGAAACCCUGAUGCAGCGACGCCGCGUGUAGGAAGACGGUCCUUUGGAUCGUAAACUACUGUCCCCAGGGACGAAGAUGACGGUACC